Molecule: ribosomal RNA, 458 nt
Filed under: uncultured bacterium
Lineage: Bacteria
Description: bacterial SSU rRNA
Rfam family: Bacterial small subunit ribosomal RNA
Source: RNAcentral
AACGAACGCUGGCGGCAGGCUUAACACAUGCAAGUCGAGCGCGUAGCAAUACGAGCGGCAGACGGGUGAGUAACGCGUGGGAACGUACCCUUUUCUACGGAAUAACGCAGGGAAACUUGUGCUAAUACCGUAUACGCCCUUUUGGGGAAAGAUUUAUCGGGGAAGGAUCGGCCCGCGUUGGAUUAGCUAGUUGGUGGGGUAAAGGCCUACCAAGGCGACGAUCCAUAGCUGGUCUGAGAGGAUGAUCAGCCACAUUGGGACUGAGACACGGCCCAAACUCCUACGGGAGGCAGCAGUGGGGAAUAUUGGACAAUGGGCGCAAGCCUGAUCCAGCCAUGCCGCGUGAGUGAUGAAGGCCCUAGGGUUGUAAAGCUCUUUCACCGGAGAAGAUAAUGACGGUAUCCGGAGAAGAAGCCCCGGCUAACUUCGUGCCAGCAGCCGCGGUAAGGCGUAUGUGU